Molecule: ribosomal RNA, 460 nt
Filed under: uncultured bacterium
Lineage: Bacteria
Description: partial 16S ribosomal RNA
Rfam family: Bacterial small subunit ribosomal RNA
Source: RNAcentral
CCUACGGGGCGCAGCAGUGAGGAAUAUUGGUCAAUGGCCGGAAGGCUGAACCAGCCAUGCCGCGUGAAGGUCAGUGCCCUAUGGGCGUUAAACUUCUUUUGUGCGGGAGCAAUAAUGGUCACGUGUGGCCAGACGAGAGUACCGUACGAAUAAGCAUCGGCUAACUCCGUGCCAGCAGCCGCGGUAAUACGGGGGAUGCAAGCGUUAUCCGGAUUUAUUGGGUUUAAAGGGUGCGUAGGCUGUGAGGUAAGUCAGCGGUGAAAUGCCCCCGCUCAACGGGGUGAAGUGCCAUUGAUACUGCCUGGCUGGAAUGCGGAUGCCGUGGGAGGAAUGUGUGGUGUAGCGGUGAAAUACAUAGAUAUCACACAGAACACCGAUUGCGAAGGCAUCUCACGAAUCCGCGAUUGACGCUGAUGCACGAAAGCGUGGGUAUCAAACAGGAUUAGAUACCCCAGUAGUC